AAACUCUGCGCUGCCGUCCAGGAAGAGAAGUGAGUGAGUAAGUCGGCUGCAAUAUUUAACAGUGCCUCCGGCCCCGCCGCCCGCAGACCGCCUCGACGGGAGCCGGAGCUCGAGAAAGCCCCACAGCAGCAGUAUCCUCCUGGGCACCUGAUUGUCCACAGUGUCUCUUGACUCACCAGCAUUUUGGGCUGAGAUGGAGACACAGCUGGCUGGAGCCAGGGAAGCUGACUCGCACUGGCUGCUUGGCUCUGAGAACUGAAUUCCAUAGGCGUUAAAGCCUCCAAAAUGCCCUAUGGAUUCAGUUCUGCAGCUGGGCAGCAACUGAGCCUCAAACCUUCAGGAAGAAAAGGCAACUGUGAGCUCUUCCUACAAGGAAUAUGUAAAUCUUUGCUCCUGCAGAGACCAGAUUCGGGGUGGAGGGGAGUAUGGCCACCACAGAAAUAUCUGCUAUCAGAGAGCUACUAGAGGUUUGUAGCACAUCUUCCCCUAAGGGAGAAAAAAACCCAACUAUAGAUUGUUUUCUUCCUUCUGGAAGUUAAAUGGCAUUUUAGAAAAUAAAUACAUUACUACCUACUGAUGUACUGCAAG
Long non-coding RNA from Passer montanus (Eurasian tree sparrow), 588 nucleotides. RefSeq lists it as uncharacterized. The record is from RefSeq and is a predicted model, not a curated record. The transcript is spliced from 3 exons. NCBI's taxonomy places the organism in Eukaryota, Metazoa, Chordata, Aves, Passeriformes, Passeridae.